Eriocheir sinensis (Chinese mitten crab) is the source of this 368-nucleotide long non-coding RNA. RefSeq lists it as uncharacterized. NCBI's taxonomy places the organism in Eukaryota, Metazoa, Arthropoda, Malacostraca, Decapoda, Varunidae. The transcript is spliced from 3 exons. The record is from RefSeq and is a predicted model, not a curated record.
GGAUAGGUCACAAAUUUCCAACAUGUUAAGAAAUGUCAAGAAGUCCCUCUUCAUGACCUUUAUCACCACACAAAAGGUCCUCAGCAUCCCUAAACUCUCUAGCAAAGGUCACAACGCUUCCUCGCCAUCCCCAACACACCAUACAAAAGGUCAAAAUAGCUUCUUCAUGACCUUUACCAAUACACAAACGUUCCUAUAGUAUUCCGAAACACUAGCAAAGGUCAUACACUUCCUCGCCAUCCCCAACACACUAUGAAAAGGUCAAAAUAGCUUCUUCAUGACCUUAACCAAUACACAAACGUUCCGAUAGCAUUCCGAAACACUAGAAAAGGUCACAACUCUUCUCCGUCAUCCCCAACACAUUAUAA